GUGAGGAAUAUUGCGCAAUGGAGGCAACUCUGACGCAGCCAUGCCGCGUGCAGGAAGAAGGCGCUACGCGUUGUAAACUGCUUUUAACCGGGAAGAAACCCCAGGACGUGUCCUGGGUUGACGGUACCGGAGGAAUAAGCACCGGCUAACUUCGUGCCAGCAGCCGCGGUAAUACGAAGGGUGCAAGCGUUAUCCGGAUUCAUUGGGUUUAAAGGGUGCGUAGGCGGAGCGUUAAGUCAGUGGUGAAAUCCUGCAGCUUAACUGUAGACUUGCCAUUGAUACUGGCGCUCUUGAGUGCGCUUGAAGUGGGCGGAAUGUGCCGUGUAGCGGUGAAAUGCUUAGAUAUGGCACAGAACACCAAUUGCGAAGGCAGCUCACUAAGGCGAUACUGACGCUGAGGCACGAGAGCGUGGGGAUCGAACAGGAUUAGAAACCCUUGUAGUCC
This 445-nucleotide ribosomal RNA is filed under the name uncultured bacterium. Its description in RNAcentral is "partial 16S ribosomal RNA". It matches the Rfam family "Bacterial small subunit ribosomal RNA", at positions 354 to 796 of the family's 1533-position model. The record is from RNAcentral.